UUGGUUGAGACAAAAGACAAGAGCCAGUCGUUAGAAGUAUCUGGAAGAGUCGGUUGACAACAAGCGUGCGUGCGAGUAGUGAGUCGAGAGGUCAGAGUUAGUCGAGAAGCCGAAGAGUAGAGUUAAGAGUUGAGAGAGUCAGCGGAGUUGCCUGAGUUGCUAGCGUUGUUGAGAGAUUGAGUUGUUAGAGUUAUAGAGUUGCGAGAGUGAUUUGAGUAGAAUAAGAUUUUUGUUCAAGUUGAACAUUUAUCGUUCUCUG
RNAcentral lists this unclassified non-coding RNA (259 nucleotides) under Bombus terrestris (buff-tailed bumblebee). Its description in RNAcentral is "misc RNA ENSBTSG00005021101.1". The record is from RNAcentral. Lineage: Eukaryota; Metazoa; Arthropoda; Insecta; Hymenoptera; Apidae.